CUAAGUCUCCCAAGUAAAUAUGUCCCUGGUGUGAUUUAUAGACAAAACCUAAUACUUUUUUCCCAAAAAAGAAGAUAAUUAUAUACUAAUUAAAGGGGUGCAACUACACAAACCCAGCAAUAAAAAACUAUGAUAACAAGUACAUAACCACAAACCAAUCCCAAACCAAGAAAAAGUGCCUGAAACCUGCCAUUACAAAACACAUAUACAAUAAACAUCACCAGAAGAUGAAGAAUGUCAGAAGAACCCUCUGACCUAACAGUGAGUUGGUUUCAGAUCAGUGCCUAAGAUGGUGCACUAAUAAUAAGUACCUCUAUUCAUUAUAUUCCUAAUACUGAACCAACCCGUCAAAUUUUGCAUUCAAUAUGCAAAGUACAAAACCUAUAUGGGAUUAAACUAAUUUGCUAACUGCAAUGCCGCAUACAUUACUAACUUGGAGACUAAACAGGAGUUGAAGGUAUUAGGCUUUUUGCUGAUUGUAGGGCCACAUAUAUUAUAACUUAGGAGACAAGAUAAUCUUGCAGAGAAAUUUUAGGCUUCAGCGGUUGCAGACAUGAACCAUGGUGAGCAAGAGUCACAUUAUAAGUUAUAUAUGAAGUGAUGUUUUGGGUUGUAUUAGAAGGAUAAUGUUGGAGUAACAGUUUUGAGUAGUAUUGUAACAGCAGGUAUUUUGAGACAAAAUGUCUUAACAUUUUUUGUAGUGGGUUUGGAGCACCCCCUUGAUACUUCACUUUAUUCAUUGCCUACUAAAAAAACAAGAUGAACCUACUAAAAAAAAAACAUGAGAAGCAAAGGUAGCUUAAUUCAACAUGUUUUCUGGUGAUACAUGAUCAAAUAAAAUGAAAAUUUAACCAGGAGGAGGAAGAUAAUGCAUAGGUGGAUUAUGCCCAGGUGGAGGAGGUGGACUUGGCAUGAUUCUCAGUUUUCUCAUUUUUAGAUCUGCAAAUUAAGAUGACAGGAUGUUAUUAACUGUUGAAUAUACAUAUAAUAAGCUUCUAAAUUCAAUAAAAUGUACUUUUACUUUACGUGCUAAACACUUACAAGGAUGUCAUCUAUCAAACAUUAAUGAAUGACAGUGAUCGUGAUCUUGCAAUUUUAAACACAUGCUAGAAUCAAAAUCUUGGACCACAACAAAAUAAAUGGUUAUGAUGUUGAAUCACUGGUAGCUUUUCAUUUUCUGUUUUUUUUUUUGGAUUCAUUAGUUUUUUGGAACUCCAUGUCUAUUGUGAUUGAGCAUUACAAAGUUUGAAUCUGCUAAAUCUACAGGGGGAAAUAGGUAGAUGUUUUUCAUGUGUCAAUGAGGGUUAUGUCUUAGGAUGGUUAACCUUGUAUGAUUGUAAAGUCCUAGAAAAGUUUUGGUUCUUAAACAGUAAUCAUAACAUUUCUUUAUUGUCUACUAAGGUUCGAACAUUCUUAACGUGUUCUACUGCAGGUAAGGGCAGGGUUUUUGUAAUAAUCCUUUCAAAACAAUGAUAUUAUAAUGUUUUUCCAGAAACAACAAAACCCUACGUUUUGAUGAUACACUAAUUUGUCCAAAAAGAAAUGAACAUGCAUCCAUGACACAUACGUGGUGGAAGUGAUCGUGAUUAUCUUCUUCUAUGCAUUUUCAUGAUUCAUUAGGAAGACUAACCUGAACCAACACUGAACUGCAAAAGCAAAACAAAGGCUAUGAUGAACAGAAGAAAACGUAGAGAGAUCGAUGAGAGACUCAAGAUGUUAGCCAUGGUGAAACUUGAUAGUGUGAGUCAUGCUUCAGAAUCAGAAAUCAAGAAAAAUUUAUAAUGACGUGAGAAGAAAACCAUAACUUUUGUUCUUCGAUUUCAU
RNAcentral lists this long non-coding RNA (1824 nucleotides) under Phaseolus vulgaris (common bean). RNAcentral's name for it is "long non-coding RNA (PVUL_LNC003201)". Lineage: Eukaryota; Viridiplantae; Streptophyta; Magnoliopsida; Fabales; Fabaceae. The record is from RNAcentral.